AGAUAUUACUAGCAAAUAGCUUAAAACUCAAAAGACUUGACAGUAUUUCAUAUCUACCUAGAGGAGCCUGUCCUACAAUCGAUAAUCCACGAUCGACCUCACCCACUUUAGCAAGACUCAGCCUAUAUACCUCCGUCGCCAGCUCGCCCGACAACAGAAACAAAGCGGGUCCAAUAGUCACACACUAAAACGACAGGUCACGGUGUAGCUAAUAAGUGGGGCAGAGAUGGGCUACAUUUUCUAACUUAGACCACACCCACACCGCCAUGAAAUUUGCGUAACAAGGUGGAUUUAGUAGUAAGACUGGCAAGACACGCCAACCUGAAACUCGCCCUGAAAUGUGUACACACCGCCC
RNAcentral lists this ribosomal RNA (355 nucleotides) under Uroplatus lineatus. Its description in RNAcentral is "partial 12S ribosomal RNA". The record is from RNAcentral. Lineage: Eukaryota; Metazoa; Chordata; Lepidosauria; Squamata; Gekkonidae.